Molecule: long non-coding RNA, 284 nt
Filed under: Chloebia gouldiae (Gouldian finch)
Lineage: Eukaryota; Metazoa; Chordata; Aves; Passeriformes; Passeridae
Description: Erythrura gouldiae (Gouldian finch) lncRNA (ENSEGOG00005014423.1)
Source: RNAcentral
AGAGGCUUCACAGCAGCUUAUUUUGUUCCUAGAUCCAGAAAAAUAUGUGCAUUUGCCUACAAGGACAGUGUGCCUUUUAAGGAGCUGCUAAAAAAGUCCCUGAUCUUCCUACGCUAUUUGACAGGCUUCUUUUUGACAGCAUCACCUGGGAGAUGUUGGAACAGCUAAGUAACUGAAUGUAUCAGAAAGCAGAAAACACUUAACUUUCCUCUCAAACAUCUAUGUUUGUAAUGGGCUAUCAGCAUCAGUGCAUCCAUGAAGGCUUAAAAAGCCUAAUGCUCAUA